AUUCCCCCUCCCCCUACACACACACAAAAUCCUCCCCCCUUUCACAAAUUCCUCCCUCCUACUCGCGGCGAAAAAUUCCCCCCAUCUCCCCUCUCUCUCUCGCCGACCCACCCCGCCGCCCCCUCGACGGAAUCACCUCGAUGGAUCUCGACACCGAGAACGGGCACGCGAUCGAGGAGCUGAAGUCCGAGAAGAAGAAGGAGAAGAAGAAACUGGAUUCAUUGGAGGACGAGACGGAGAAGAGCGAGAAGAAGAGGAAGGCUGAUGAUGAUGACGAAGACGAGGAGACCUCGCCAUGAGAAUUGUGCAUGACCCAUUUCUCUAUGUCCUCGUUCUCGGCCUCCCUCUGUCGUUUUCCUACUCUUGGUUGUCCAAUUGGGCUCUGCGCAGGCGAUUUCUUGAUUCUGGUUCUGGGGAUCCAUGUACCAUGGUUCCCCUUUGCUACUGCCGAUUCUUGGGCCAUUGACUGUGAAGAGGGCUUUUCAGGGAAAUUGGGCUUUUCCAUCAAGAUGAAGAUAGUGUGUUCUUAUCUAUACAGGGCUUUUCCAUGGGUUCUGUUCUAUAAUUUUCCAAACCAACUUUUUCUUAUAGUCUGCAGUAGGAAGCACACAUGACAUGAAGACUAAUCUUAGGAGCUUGACUUUGUUAAUGUCUUCAAUUUACCUAGGGAAAUUGGACACUUGAGACUUGGCAUCCCUUGUAUUCUUAUGGAAUCCUUUGGCAAUAAUCACCUGUGUUGGCUCAUCAACAUCACCAAUUGACAAUUUGAUGGUCGUAUUGGCCAUCUAUGGAGCUUGUUCACGAAACUAGUAUGAACAUGCGAUGGUGGCCAAAAAUGUGGUCACAAGAAAGUCAUAGGAGUUGUUAAUAAACAAGGAAGACUAAAGGUAUAGUUCCCUUGGCAGCCUUUGGAUGGGUUAUGGCGACACACUUGUCACUUUAUCCUGCAAUCCUGAUUGUACCGGAUAUCUCCCUUCAGACAUCUCAUUGGCUUCUUUUACGUGUGAGAUAUGACAAACCAUGGCAUGAGUGCCUUGAUCUGCAAUCAUUUAUGGACUUGGUACUACAUUCAAGUAACGGAAACACACUGAAAACAGUACUUAUGCUUGCCGAUCAAAUGAUCAAUCGAGUUGAAUAUAUGCAUGCGAAGGGCUUCCUUCACAUAAAGAUGGUUCAAUUUUCUACAAAGAACCUUUUGCUUGACUAAUUUAAGGAAAAGUACAAUCUCUUGGUGCUAAGAUAUUAGUUUGGAUUGUGAAAAUUUUCAAUGUAGGGUGUGGAUAUAUGUGCGAGAUAUUAGUUAUGAAAUGUGAAAUUUGAAUUUAUGGAAGUUUCUUUAAAUGUUUGUGAAAUUUGGAUUGUAAAAUUUUUGAAUGUAGUGUAUGGAUGUAUGCGAGAUACUAGAUAUGGAAAGUGCACGAAAUUUGUGAAA
Asparagus officinalis (garden asparagus) is the source of this 1432-nucleotide RNA transcript. It is a transcript of the gene named casein kinase I homolog hhp2-like, with no coding region annotated. NCBI's taxonomy places the organism in Eukaryota, Viridiplantae, Streptophyta, Magnoliopsida, Asparagales, Asparagaceae. The record is from RefSeq and is a predicted model, not a curated record. The transcript is spliced from 9 exons.